AGAGUUUGAUCCUGGCUCAGAACGAACGCUGGCGGCAGGCCUCAAACAUGCAAGUCUAGGGGGUAGCAAUACCACCGGCGGACAGGUGCGUAACGCGUGGGAAUGUACCUAUUGGUUCGGAACAACUGAGGGAAACUUCAGCUAAUACCGAAUGUGCCCGUAAGGGGAAAGAUUUAUCGCCAAUGGAUCAGCCCGCGUUCGAUUAGCUAGUUGGUGAGGUAAUGGCUCACCAAGGCGACGAUCGAUAGCUGUUCUGAGAGGAAGAUCAGCCACACUGGGACUGAGACACGGCCCAGACUCCUACGGGAGGCAGCAGUUGGGAAUCUUGGACAAUGGGGGAAACCCUGAUCCAGCCAUGCCGCGUGAGUGAUGAAGGCCUUCGGGUUGUAAAACUCUUUCGCGCACGACGAUAAUGACGGUAGUGCGAGAAGAAGCUCCGGCUAACUUCGUGCCAGCAGCCGCGGUAAUACGAAGGGGGCUAGCGUUGUUCGGAAUUACUGGGCGUAAAGCGCGCGCAGGCGGUUCUCCAAGUCAGUGGUGAAAGCCCGGAGCUCAACUCCGGAAUUGCCAUUGAAACUGUUGAACUUGAGGACGAGAGAGGUGAGUGGAAUUCCCAGUGUAGAGGUGAAAUUCGUAGAUAUUGGGAAGAACACCGGUGGCGAAGGCGGCUCACUGGCUCGUUUCUGACGCUCAGGCGCGACAGCGUGGGGAUCAAACAGGAUUAGAUACCCCCGUAGUCC
Molecule: ribosomal RNA, 740 nt
Filed under: uncultured bacterium
Lineage: Bacteria
Description: bacterial SSU rRNA
Rfam family: Bacterial small subunit ribosomal RNA
Source: RNAcentral